This 452-nucleotide ribosomal RNA is filed under the name uncultured bacterium. RNAcentral's name for it is "bacterial SSU rRNA". It matches the Rfam family "Bacterial small subunit ribosomal RNA", at positions 29 to 524 of the family's 1533-position model. The record is from RNAcentral.
AGCGAACGCUGGCGGCAGGCUUAACACAUGCAAGUCGAACGGGCGUAGCAAUACGUCAGUGGCAGACGGGUGAGUAACGCGUGGGAACGUACCUUUUGGUUCGGAACAACCCAGGGAAACUUGGGCUAAUACCGGAUAAGCCCUUACGGGGAAAGAUUUAUCGCCGAAAGAUCGGCCCGCGUCUGAUUAGCUAGUUGGUGAGGUAACGGCUCACCAAGGCGACGAUCAGUAGCUGGUCUGAGAGGAUGAUCAGCCACAUUGGGACUGAGACACGGCCCAAACUCCUACGGGAGGCAGCAGUGGGAAUAUUGGACAAUGGGCGCAAGCCUGAUCCAGCCAUGCCGCGUGAGUGAUGAAGGCCCUAGGGUUGUAAAGCUCUUUCGACGGGAACGAUAAAUGACGGUACCCGGAGAAGAAGCUGCGGCUAACUACGUGCCAGCCGCCGCCGUAAU